RNAcentral lists this ribosomal RNA (440 nucleotides) under uncultured bacterium. RNAcentral's name for it is "partial 16S ribosomal RNA". It matches the Rfam family "Bacterial small subunit ribosomal RNA", at positions 339 to 795 of the family's 1533-position model. The record is from RNAcentral.
CUACGGGGGGCUCCAGUGGGGAAUAUUGUACAAUGGAGGAAACUCUGAUGCAGCAACGCCGCGUGGAGGAUGACACUUUUCGGAGCGUAAACUCCUUUUAUAUAGGAAGAAGAUGACGGUACUAUAUGAAUAAGCGCCGGCUAACUCCGUGCCAGCAGCACGCGGUAAUACGGAGGGGGCAAGCGUUACUCGGAAUCACUGGGCGUAAAGAGCGUGUAGGCGGAUUAAAAAGUCAGAAGUGAAAUCCUAUAGCUUAACUAUAGAACUGCUUCUGAAACUCUUAAUCUAGAAUAUGGGAGAGGUAGAUGGAAUUUCUGGUGUAGGGGUAAAAUCCGUAGAGAUCAGAAGGAAUACCGAUUGCGAAGGCGAUCUACUAGAACAUUAUUGACGCUGAGACGCGAAAGCGUGGGGAGCAAACAGGAUUAGAUACCCCUGUAGUC